CAGCAAUGCCGCGUGAGUGAUGAAGGCCUUAGGGUUGUAAAGCUCUUUUACCCGGGAAGAUAAUGACUGUACCGGGAGAAUAAGCCCCGGCUAACUCCGUGCCAGCAGCCGCGGUAAUACGGAGGGGGCUAGCGUUGUUCGGAAUUACUGGGCGUAAAGCGCGCGUAGGCGGCUUUGUAAGUUAGAGGUGAAAGCCCGGAGCUCAACUCCGGAACUGCCUUUAAGACUGCAUCGCUAGAAUUGUGGAGAGGUGAGUGGAAUUCCGAGUGUAGAGGUGAAAUUCGUAGAUAUUCGGAAGAACACCAGUGGCGAA
This 313-nucleotide ribosomal RNA is filed under the name uncultured Sphingomonas sp. RNAcentral's name for it is "bacterial SSU rRNA". It matches the Rfam family "Bacterial small subunit ribosomal RNA", at positions 389 to 719 of the family's 1533-position model. The record is from RNAcentral. Lineage: Bacteria; Pseudomonadati; Pseudomonadota; Alphaproteobacteria; Sphingomonadales; Sphingomonadaceae.